This 254-nucleotide ribosomal RNA is filed under the name uncultured bacterium. Its description in RNAcentral is "partial 16S ribosomal RNA". It matches the Rfam family "Bacterial small subunit ribosomal RNA", at positions 524 to 776 of the family's 1533-position model. The record is from RNAcentral.
UACGUAGGGGGCGAGCGUUGUCCGAAGUUACUGGGCGUAAAGCGCGCGUAGGCGGGGGAUUAAGUGAGAGGUGAAAGGCUGGGGCUCAACCCCAUGCAGUGCCUCUCAUACUGGUCUUCUUGAGGGCGGUAGGGAGAAGUGGAAUGGCUGGUGUAGCGGUGAAAUGCGUAGAUAUCAGUCGGAACACCGGUGGCGAAGGCGGCUUCUUGGGCCGUUCCUGACGCUGAGGUGCGAAAGCUGGGGGAGCGAACGGG